UUUAAAAUUAGUGGUAGAGUAAUGCCGUGCUAAGACGUUAAGUCCUCGGUUCGAAUCUGAUA
RNAcentral lists this transfer RNA (62 nucleotides) under Avenella flexuosa. RNAcentral describes it as "tRNA-Thr". The record is from RNAcentral. Lineage: Eukaryota; Viridiplantae; Streptophyta; Magnoliopsida; Poales; Poaceae.